This 344-nucleotide ribosomal RNA is filed under the name uncultured bacterium. RNAcentral describes it as "bacterial SSU rRNA". It matches the Rfam family "Bacterial small subunit ribosomal RNA", at positions 32 to 352 of the family's 1533-position model. The record is from RNAcentral.
AAUCAACGCUGGCGGCGUGCCUCAGACAUGCAAGUCGAACGCGAUUUAUUCUUUCGGGAAUAGAUUGAGUGGCGCACGGGUGAGUAACACGUAGGUAAUCUACCUUUGGGUGGGGAAUAACAGCCGGAAACGGCUGCUAAUACCGCAUAAAGCAGCGGCAUCACAUGAUGACAGUUGUUAAAGCGGGGGAUCUGAAAGGACCUCGCGCCAGAAGAGGAGCCNGCGGCAGAUUAGCUAGUUGGUGAGGUAACGGCUCACCAAGGCGACGAUCUGUAGCCGGCCUGAGGAGGGCGGUCGGCCACACUGACACUGACAUACGGGUCAGACUCCGUACGGGAGGCAGC